GGGCGUAAAGAGCUCGUAGGCGGUUUGUCGCGUCUGCUGUGAAAAUCCAAGGCUCAACCUUGGACCUGCAGUGGGUACGGGCAGACUAGAGUGCGGUAGGGGAGAUGGGAAUUCCUGGUGUAGCGGUGGAAUGCGCAGAUAUCAGGAGGAACACCAAUGGCGAAGGCACAUCUCUGGGCCGUAACUGACGCUGAGGAGCGAAAGCGUGGGGAGCGAACAGGAUUAGAUACCCUGGUAGUCCACGCCGUAAACGGUGGGUGCUAGUUGUGGGCCACAUUCCACGUGGUCCGUGACGAAGUUAACACAUUAAGCACCCCGCCUGGGGAGUACGGUCGCAAGACUAAAACUCAAAGGAAUUGACGGGGGCCCGCACAAGCGGCGGAGCAUGCGGAUUAAUUCGAUGCAACGCGAAGAACCUUACCAAGGCUUGACAUAUAGAGGAAACGUGCAGAAAUGUACGCCCCGCAAGGUCUCUAUACAGGUGGUGCAUGGUUGUCGUCAGCUCGUGUCGUGAGAUGUUGGGUUAAGUCCCGCAACGAGCGCAACCCUCGUCCUAUGUUGCCAGCACGUAAUGGUGGGAACUCAUGGGAGACUGCCGGGGUCAACUCGGAGGAAGGUAAU
This 621-nucleotide ribosomal RNA is filed under the name uncultured Actinomycetes bacterium. RNAcentral describes it as "bacterial SSU rRNA". It matches the Rfam family "Bacterial small subunit ribosomal RNA", at positions 556 to 1177 of the family's 1533-position model. Lineage: Bacteria; Bacillati; Actinomycetota; Actinomycetes. The record is from RNAcentral.